AGUAACGGGUGGNCCCUCGAAAUCCUGUGGCGGGAGGAUUCAGUCUGGAGCGUCGGUCGCGCUGGUCGGAAAUUGGAAGGGCUUCCCACUAUCGGGGCCGUCCGACUGCGAGCUUCAGGCGCGCCAGACGCAUUUGUCUCCCGCUCGAAGGACGCCGCAACCGGUCGGGCAGUGCAAACGUGACGGCCUGGAAGGCGGACGACGGCAGGUGGCCGGUGGCGCGCCUCGUGCGUUUCACCGGUUGUUAGCCGGUCCGUCGGUGGCACGUCGCCCGACCGAGGUACCGAGAUGCCCUCAGGGGCGUAUCCGUCUCCUCCUCCAUUGGAAGUCGGGACUUUCCGUCGCGAGCGAAGGCAGCCGCGCGGUCGCACUAUUUCCGUAGUGGACCAGCGUCUAGUCGGCACCGUCGGCUUCGGAGGACCCGUCGGAGGUCGGAGGUUAGCGGCGAGUAGGUCGGUCACCCACCCGACCCGUCUUGAAACACGGACCAAGGAGUCUAACAUGUGCGCGAGUCAAUGGGUCUCGAAUAAGCCCAGAGGCGCAAUGAAAGCGAAGGUCGGCGCCACGCCGGCCGAGUCGGGAUCCGGCCCCGGGGUCGGCGCACCGACGACCCGUCCUGUGCUGCUUGCAGCUUGGGCGGAGUGUGAGCGUACACGUUGGGACNCGAAAGAUGGUGAACUAUGCCCGGGCAGGAAGAGGCCAGAGGAAACUCUGGUGGAG
This 720-nucleotide ribosomal RNA is filed under the name Aglaoctenus lagotis. RNAcentral describes it as "eukaryotic LSU rRNA". The stretch from base 487 to 720 matches the Rfam family "Eukaryotic large subunit ribosomal RNA", at positions 665 to 872 of the family's 3401-position model. The record is from RNAcentral. Lineage: Eukaryota; Metazoa; Arthropoda; Arachnida; Araneae; Lycosidae.